RNAcentral lists this ribosomal RNA (253 nucleotides) under uncultured bacterium. Its description in RNAcentral is "partial 16S ribosomal RNA". It matches the Rfam family "Bacterial small subunit ribosomal RNA", at positions 524 to 776 of the family's 1533-position model. The record is from RNAcentral.
UACGUAGGGUGCGAGCGUUACUCGGAAUUACUGGGCGUAAAGAGCUCGUAGGCGGUUCGUCGCGUCGGCUGUGAAAACCCGGAGCUCAACUCCGGGCCUGCAGUCAAUACGGGCGGACUGGAGUUCGGCAGGGGAGACUGGAAUUCCUGGUGUAGCGGUGAAAUGCGCAGAUAUCAGGAGGAACACCGGUGGCGAAGGCGGGUCUCUGGGCCGAUACUGACGCUGAGGAGCGAAAGCGUGGGGAGCGAACAGG